Long non-coding RNA from Momordica charantia (bitter melon), 1019 nucleotides. RefSeq lists it as uncharacterized. The record is from RefSeq and is a predicted model, not a curated record. Lineage: Eukaryota; Viridiplantae; Streptophyta; Magnoliopsida; Cucurbitales; Cucurbitaceae.
GUCCCGCCAAAUUUUCACGUUUCUCCGACCUUGAUCUUGCCUUUCUUCACCUACCUUCUUGACUCAGUAAUGGCGUCCGCUUCCACUGUUCCACUUUAAACUCCUCGAUUUCUUCGUCUUUCUCCUUGAAUUUGAACCCUAGGAAUUCGUUUUCUACGAAUUUUAUUCCUCGGUCGAUUCCUUCCGGUGUUUAUUUCGCAAUGUCGAUUCGUAGCUUUGUGCCUUCGUCUGUCUUUUUCGUUAUCAGUUUUCGCUUACAGCUGCUUCAAUUUGUUGUGGCGGAGGGGAUGAACUAUGAGGUAUCAGCGAGGAAAAGCGAUUUAAUCAAAGGCAAGGCUUCAAGAGAAGACAAUAGGGGUGCGGGCCAGAGAUACUCGUUGUUAUUGAAUCUUCUCCAAAGAAAGAUAAAUACGAUGACCACGAGUUUAUUGAAAUCGAUUUUGACGAGUCAUUAUUCUCCAGCUAAGCUGCAUUUAACUUCAAGAGGUGAAAAAACGUGGAGAAGGGAUGAUGACUAUAUAUCAGCUUCUGUUGCUGUCCAAAUUGGCCAAGUUUUAUGCAACUUUGGGCCAACUGCGUAUUAAAUAUUUAGUGCACAACUUGCAGGUAUUGCUUAUCAUUGUGGUUACAUGCUGACAUGUCUGGUGCCCCUAUAUCUUGGAGGAAUCAAAGUAAGGUAUGUUGUUUCAUCUACACAAAUUCUGUUUGUUCAAGCAACGAGGUAGGAAGAAGUAUUAUUCUGAUUAAAAUAGAAAAAAUAUGUUGCUUCUUUCCACUAUAUAAAAUUUUGUUGAUCAAGGUUCCAGUAUUAAUUUCAUUUACGAAAUAGUAGUGCGCUAUAUCCUGAAAAAAUAGAAAAAGUAGCGGACCGGAUUUAAUAGAAGAAAACAAAUAUCUUUAUAUUAAAUAUUAAUCAUGUUUGUAAUUUACCACGAACACAGAGGUUCAAAUCUUCUCAUGUUGUGGUAAAAAACAAGAAUAAUUUGUGAAGUUUAUAUUAUAUUGUGAAAUAGUUUAAU